This 75-nucleotide transfer RNA is filed under the name Halobacteriales archaeon QH_10_67_13. RNAcentral describes it as "tRNA-Val". Lineage: Archaea; Methanobacteriati; Methanobacteriota; Halobacteria; Halobacteriales. The record is from RNAcentral.
GGGUCGCUGGUCCACCCCGGUUAUGACGCUUCCUUCACACGGAAGAGGCCCCAAGUUCAAACCUUGGGCAACCCA